Molecule: ribosomal RNA, 254 nt
Filed under: uncultured archaeon
Lineage: Archaea
Description: partial 16S ribosomal RNA
Rfam family: Archaeal small subunit ribosomal RNA
Source: RNAcentral
CACCGGCGCCACAAGUGGUGAUCAUAUUUAUUGGGUCUAAAGCGUUCGUAGCCGGUUUGGUAAAUUCUUUGUGAAAUUGUUGAGCUUAACUUAACAAAUUGCAAGGAACACUGCCUGACUUGAGACCGGGAGGGGGUAGAGGUAUUCCAUGGGGAGCGGUAAAAUGCAAUAAUCCUUGGAAGACCACCAGUGGCGAAGGCUUCUAUCCAGAACGGGUCUGACGGUGAGGGACGAAGGCUAGGGGAGCAAAAUGG